AUGGAAACACAGAGGAGCAACAGAGCACUGACUAAGGCACCACCUCAGCGGCUUCAUUACCUUUGGAUUAGACAAAGAGGACAAAACGAGGGAGAAGCAUCAGAAGACCAAGAUCUCGGAGGAAGGAAUACAAAAGAGAAUAGAUGCCUGGAACCACAGGGAUGGACAGAGAAAACACAAGUGCUAAAACAAAUGGUGAUGUGUUCAAGAGCAGGCACUGAGGUCAAGCCAUCUGUGCCUUCAGUACAUGCUAAAAGUAAAGUAAUGCUUUUGACCCAUAUAAUGGUAGGAGAGGCAAAGACACAGUUUGGGCAAAUAAAACCAAGCAAAAAUAUAAAGAAAGUUGGAGUUGAGGAGGAAAGGCAUCAUAAAACCAAAGAAAAAUGGUUUAUUACAGAAAGAAGAAUCCACACUAAGGAUAUCAGUCUUGUAAGUCAUUACACAAGCAUCAGUACUCUGAGUGCCAUGAGAUAUAAGAGGCAGUAUGAUGCAGAGGGAGGAACAGAAUACCUGGAGGGCCCAUGCCAAGGUGUCCACCUGAAGAAUCAAGCCAUGCCACAGACCUAGUAUACAAAAGAUUUUUUUCAGGGGGAGGGGGUAGGGACCUGGGAAGGGAUAGAGGUAGAGAAAGUAGGGAGAAGGAAAGAAAGAGAGAGGAAGAGAGAAAGAAGAGAGGCCAACUAGGAACACUUAGGAAAACAGAAAGAGUGGAAGAAGAAAGAGGAUUAGGGUAGUAAGCAGUCCUCUUAUAUGCUACCACACCCAGCUUCCACCUUGGAGAGGAGGAGAAUGCAGGUUGUUGCUAGGUAGCUGUUGGGCAGAGCCUAGCAGAAUUGUCUGUAUGCCAAUACGGGAAGCUCUACAAAGUGUUAGAAGGAAAACAUUUGUAUGAGACUUUGAUUAAACCUUCUUCAAACAAAUGUGAAAUAACAGAAGAUCAAUCUAAGACACACACACACACACACACACACAUACACACACACACAGCCCUUUGAGCUUCAGAUAGUGUCAAAGUGAAAACACUGAAAUCUGAAAAUCGAGAAUCAAGUUCAUGGGUGAAUUAAUCCUUCAUAAAAAUGUCAAAUUACUUAAUAAAGGUGAUAUAGAACAAGCCCA
Molecule: long non-coding RNA, 1116 nt
Filed under: Mus spicilegus (steppe mouse)
Lineage: Eukaryota; Metazoa; Chordata; Mammalia; Rodentia; Muridae
Description: lncRNA (ENSMSIG00000011505.1)
Source: RNAcentral